Molecule: ribosomal RNA, 520 nt
Filed under: uncultured Glomus
Lineage: Eukaryota; Fungi; Glomeromycota; Glomeromycetes; Glomerales; Glomeraceae
Description: SSU rRNA
Rfam family: Eukaryotic small subunit ribosomal RNA
Source: RNAcentral
AGCAGCCGCGGUAAUUCCAGCUCCAAUAGCGUAUAUUAAAGUUGUUGCAGUUAAAAAGCUCGUAGUUGAAUUUCGGGGUCAGCAGGUUGGUCGUGCCACUGGUAUGCACUGGCUUCGCUGAUUCCUCCUUCUUGAAGAACCGUAAUGUCAUUAAUUUGGUGUUGCGGGGAAACAGGACUGUUACUUUGAAAAAAUUAGAGUGUUUUAAAGCAGGCUAACGCUUGAAUACAUUAGCAUGGAAUAAUGAAAUAGGACGUUUGAUCCUAUUUUGUUGGUUUCUAGGAUUGACGUAAUGAUUAAUAGGGAUAGUUGGGGGCAUUAGUAUUCAAUUGUCAGAGGUGAAAUUCUUGGAUUUAUUGAAGACUAACUACUGCGAAAGCAUUUGCCAAGGAUGUUUUCAUUAAUCAAGAACGAAAGUUAGGGGAUCGAAGACGAUCAGAUACCGUCGUAGUCUUAACCAUAAACUAUGCCGACUAAGGAUCGGAUGAUGUUAAUUUUUAAUUGACUCAUUCGGCGUCUU